CACAGAAGCUCCGGGCUCGCGGCCGCCCCGCACAGCCCGCAUGGACGGGGAGCCUGCAAGGCGCCGGAGGAAGGCCCAGGCCUGGAGGGGACCAGCGCGGCCUGGAAGAUUAUUAAGACACCUCAACCAUGCAGAGCCCACCUGGAGAAGUGCAGGCGUGCUCGGACCCUGCUGUAACGUCCUGAGAGGUGAAAGGGGCCCGAGCUCUUGCCCGAUGGAUGGCUCUUCAAGCAUGUCCUACUGGGACCUUUCUAACCAGUGAAUUGUUCACCUCCCAGUGAUUCUUCCCGAUUGAGGCCAAGAGAUUUCUGGAGCCUCUUGUCAUGGUCAGCAACAUCCCAUGAGUGACCAGGAAGUGGGGGUUUCUGUUCUAAGUCCCUCAGGCAAAGACAAAGCAGAUGAGCCUGCCUCUGGGGAAGAAGCAUAAGAGUGUGUCCACCAUGGCUGUGCCCAGAGUGCCAAGGGUUGGCGUGACUGGGGCCAGCUGGAAUUCUAGAAUUUGUAUUUGGUGGGAGUCUCGCCAAAACUCCCAGAAGAGCUCCCCCUGAAGAGAGCUGGUCUACCAGUGAGCCAAGUGGCACGUUCGCCCUAUCUUGCAAGUGACCACACCCUGUCAGGACAAGUGAGGGUCACAGACUGGAACCAAAGGAAGUCAGGUGCUUCAUAGGAGGACAAGCAAAUCAGCCCAGUCAAGCAGGUAAGGGAAAAAAGAGGCAGGGUUCACCACCCUAUCCCAUGGAGACCGAGAGACUUCUGUGGUGUGCUAAUAACUGCACAUUCUAGGUCGAAGAGGGUGAUUUUUGGUCUGCAUGUGAUUAAGAGCCAUUUUUCCUGAAAAAUGCAGAACGGUGUAUAUUCAGUUGUUAAGAAUGAGCCAAUUCUAUGGCCAAAGCAAGGCUCUGGUCAAAAGUUAACAACUCGGUUAUCCUGGGAAAAAAUUAACUGGCCCCCAACCUUUGCCUUUUCCAGCAAUUGGGGGAAAAUAAAGAGUUAGGUAAAAUGAUUUAUUUCUUCCCA
This 1017-nucleotide long non-coding RNA is filed under the name Ursus americanus (American black bear). Its description in RNAcentral is "lncRNA (ENSUAMG00000000024.1)". Lineage: Eukaryota; Metazoa; Chordata; Mammalia; Carnivora; Ursidae. The record is from RNAcentral.